CUUUUGCAUCAUGACUUAGCCAGCACCACUCAAGCAAAGAGAMCUUUAGUUUGRWCCCCCGAAACUARGYGAGCUACUCCAAGWCAGCCUAWUWAWAGGGCMMACCCGUCUCUGUGGCAAAAGAGUGGGAAGAGCUUUGAGUAGAGGUGACAGACCUACCGAGCUUAGUUAUAGCUGGUUCCCUGGGAAAUGGAUAGGAGUUCAGCCUUCUAAGUUCUUCACUCCAACCCUUCAACAAGGUGAAAAGAAAUCAGAAGAGUUAAUCAAGGGGGGUACAGCCCCCUUGAAAAAAGAUACAACUUUAGCAGAAGGAUAAAGAUCAUACGAAAUUUAAAGGAGAGUCCUCUUGGUGGGCCUAAAAGCAGCCACCCCAACAGAAAGCGUUAAAGCUCAAAUGCGGAACACCCUAUAUAUUCUGACAACCUAAUCUUAAUCCUCUAAUACUACCAGGAAGCCCUAUGCGAGCAUAGGAAUUAUACUGCUAAUAUGAGUAAUAAGAGAACAUAAGAUUCUCUCCUAGCACAAGUGUAAAUCGGAACGAACCCCCACCGAAAAUUGACGGCCCCAAGAAAAGAGGGAACUGGAUGAAAAAUAAAAAACUAGAAGAACACCCAACAAUUAACCGUUAACCUCACACUAGAGUGCUGCCAAGGAAAGACUAAAAGGGGAAGAAGGAACUCGGCAAACACACCCAAGCCUCGCCUGUUUACCAAAAACAUCGCCUCUUGUACCUAAUAAAUAAGAGGUCCUGCCUGCCCUGUGACAAUUAGUUCAACGGCCGCGGUAUUUUGACCGUGCGAAGGUAGCGCAAUCACUUGUC
Molecule: ribosomal RNA, 820 nt
Filed under: Lophius piscatorius (angler)
Lineage: Eukaryota; Metazoa; Chordata; Actinopteri; Lophiiformes; Lophiidae
Description: partial 16S ribosomal RNA
Rfam family: Bacterial large subunit ribosomal RNA
Source: RNAcentral